AGUGAACGCUGGCGGUAGGCCUAACACAUGCAAGUCGAACGGCAGCACAGUAAGCGCUUGCUCUUAAGGUUGGCGAGUGGCGGACGGGUGAGGCAUACAUCGGCAUCUACUUUUUCUUGGGGGAUAACGUAGGGAAACUUACGCUACUACCUCAUACGACCUACGGGUGAAAGCAGGAGAUCUUCGGACCUUGCGCGAUUGAAUGAGACGAGGUCGGACUAGCUAGUUGGCGGGGUAAAGGCCCACCAAGGCGACGCACCGAAGCUGCUCGGAGAGGAUGGUCGGCCACACUGGAACGGAGACAGGUCCCGAACCCCUAGGGGAGGCAGCAGUGGGAAAUAUUGGAAAAGGGGGACAAGCCUGAUGCAGCCAUACCGCGGAGGUAAAGAAGUCUUUCGAGUGGUAAAGCCUUUUUGUUGGGAAAGAAAAGUAUGAGGUUAAUUCCCCGCGUUUCGGACGUUACCAAAAGGAAAAGCACCGGCUAAUUUCGG
RNAcentral lists this ribosomal RNA (491 nucleotides) under uncultured bacterium. RNAcentral's name for it is "partial 16S ribosomal RNA". It matches the Rfam family "Bacterial small subunit ribosomal RNA", at positions 29 to 506 of the family's 1533-position model. The record is from RNAcentral.